Molecule: non-coding RNA, 142 nt
Organism: Dendroctonus ponderosae (mountain pine beetle)
Lineage: Eukaryota; Metazoa; Arthropoda; Insecta; Coleoptera; Curculionidae
Source: Rfam
UUUCGGCCCUAUCGAAGCCGGGGGAUGACUUAAUGCCAUGUCAGCCCUUGGUCAAAAUGCGGCCUAUAAAAAUGUUCUCUUUAAGGUCACUGGCUAUCUGAGUUUUGUAGAUAUUUCAGUAUCACCCAAAGAGAAGACACCU